UGAGUCGUGACUCGAGUGAACUGUAAAUGAUUCAAUCAGACAGAAUAGCGAAACCACUCCAAACGAUUCACUCUGUAAGUGAACAAAUCGAAUCAUUUAGACGAACCGUACAUUUUGAGAACUGCUCAUGUAAAAGAACCGAGUUCUUGUGAUUCAACUAAUUCAUUAACGAAUCGGGCAUCGAUAAUAUUAUUCCAAAAAUCUGAAAGAGCAUAUGGGAAAUGCAACCUGACUGCUGAAAUAUUGUCACGUUAGCAAAUGUCAACGCAUCCUGCAGCUUCGCUAACACUUAGUGGAAAGUGUCGUACGAUAGCUUUACUGUUUGUUGUAAAAUGUAAUUUCUAAAUUUUAGUCUUGCCUUUUUUUUUAGGUGUGGUUUAACAAUUCCAGUCAGAAUGAAGAUGAGGAACUUUUAUCAUCUGACGACUCUGAUGGACUCACAACUCAUACUGAUUCAACAACCAGUUCUCUCACUGACUCCAGUGUUACUGUAACAAACAGCAUCAACACUCUGCAGGCUGGUGAGGAUCAGAGCUGUUCCCCUGCAGUGAUGAAGAAUCAUCCGCAGAGAUCAGACGGUAUUUGAUCUCUCACACCCAUGCAUACCGACAUUUGUGCAUAAAAUUUGUUCUUAUAUAUCUAUUUUAGAUUCUUGACUGUUUCACUAUUUAUUUCCAAAUUCCUAGUAUGUGUUGUAAUGAGUCAGAGGAAGAAGAGAAAGAGAAGUUCAUCCCUACAUCCAAAAGUGAGACAGAGAAAUAUAAAGUGAGACGAACACUUAGCUUUCUCAGAAGCCGGAUGGUGAACACCAAAAUAAAAAACAAGGUAAAUGCAGAGGUUUCCUCAGCUUUGCAUCAGCUCUGCUCACCACAGCCGCGUGUUGAAGCAGCUUGUAAUGUCUGUGAGGGUGCUGACGGUGAUGAACCACAGCCGUGCACAUGUAAGUGUGUGUUUCUUGUACAGACUUAUAUUUUUACAUACAUUAAAAUGUGAAAUAAAUGUAAAUAUACUGGCUUUAUGAUGUCA
Long non-coding RNA from Cyprinus carpio (common carp), 1026 nucleotides. Lineage: Eukaryota; Metazoa; Chordata; Actinopteri; Cypriniformes; Cyprinidae. The record is from Ensembl.